AGCGAACGCUGGCGGCAGGCUUAACACAUGCAAGUCGAGCGGGCACUUUCGGGUGUCAGCGGCGGACGGGUGAGUAACGCGUGGGAACGUGCCCUCUGGUUCGGAAUAACUCAGGGAAACUUGAGCUAAUACCGGAUACGCCCUUUUGGGGAAAGGCUUGCUGCCGGAGGAUCGGCCCGCGUCUGAUUAGCUAGUUGGUGAGGUAACGGCUCACCAAGGCGACGAUCAGUAGCUGGUCUGAGAGGAUGAUCAGCCACACUGGGACUGAGACACGGCCCAGACUCCUACGGGAGGCAGCAGUGGGGAAUAUUGGACAAUGGGCGCAAGCCUGAUCCAGCCAUGCCGCGUGAGUGAUGAAGGCCUUAGGGUUGUAAAGCUCUUUUAUCCGGGACGAUAAUGACGGUACUGGAGGAAUAAGCCCCGGCUAACUUCGUG
RNAcentral lists this ribosomal RNA (435 nucleotides) under uncultured bacterium. Its description in RNAcentral is "partial 16S ribosomal RNA". It matches the Rfam family "Bacterial small subunit ribosomal RNA", at positions 29 to 507 of the family's 1533-position model. The record is from RNAcentral.